AAAAGAGAAAGGUUAGUCUCCAAAGGACAUAAAUGCCAUGAGUCCAUUAUGCUGCUGAAGUUCUCACUCACUGUGUCCAGUUACACAGGCUCUAGCUCAUAUCUCCUGAAUCUUUUCUCUCCCCUACAUCCUCACUCUUUAGUCUCUCAUUAUCUUUCAUCUUUAGCUAUUGCUGAUCCAUUUCCAGUCUCACACGAUUCCUAUCCAUUUCUCUUGUUGCCUCCAUUUAUAAAACAAUCUUGGCAUCGCUUUUCCCUGAAAAAAAAUCUAUCAGUCACCUCUCAGUUCCUAUAAAUUUCAAACUUAUAGACUCAACUUCCACCCACUUUUUCAAUAAUCUGAACUCUUAUCUUUCCCCACUAAAGUAGUCUUUUUUUCCAACUACACUGAACUAUUCCUUCUUCCUCAAGUAUUCCAGGCACUGGCAUGCCUCAGAGCCAUUGUACAUGUAAAUCCCUCUGCUUGGAAUGAUUUCAACCAUUGGGUCAACAUCAACUACUACCUGGUCAGCUUCUACUCAUCCAUCUAAGCUCUGGCCAAGCAUCCCUCCUCUGUGAAGCUCCUCUGGAUCCCCUGGACUAAACUUUCCUAUUUGGUAUUUCCUUGAGCUCCACACUGGUCUUGUUCAUAGAACUUGCCAUGGUGCUCCCUAAUUGUUUGUAUCUUUUUCUUCCUACUAUAAUGUGAGCAUCUGGAGAGAAGGGAACCAUGUCUUACUCAUCUUCCUACAUCAUCCUCUAUUUUCUCUUACUGCUACUGUCUCUGGUGCACAAUGUUUAUGAAAAGGAAAAACCAAAUAGCACAUUUUUUUUUAAAACAAGUUACUGACCAUUUAAGGACAAUGUCUGGAUUAAAAGGUUUUAGGGAGGAUCACAUGAGAAUAUCCAGUACAUUUUCACACAAAACAGCCAUAAUAGCCCAUUGCCUUAUGUAGAAAAGUGUUAGGCAAACACGUGAUUCCUAUUCCAGGUUUUAACAGUGUAAUACGGGAGAUAUGACAAUGCAUAAGAGGUAAAUAACAGGUGACUACCAAUUUUGCUAGAGGGGCAGGAACAUAUAGAGAAAAGGAGGCAGAAACAUUAAAGGAAGUAUGUAGAAACAUUAUCUGGAGGAUGAUAGAAACAGGUCAAAACCUUUUUAAUAUAUAUUUUUAGUCAUACAUGGAUGCAAU
This 1171-nucleotide long non-coding RNA is filed under the name Marmota monax (woodchuck). The record is from RNAcentral. Lineage: Eukaryota; Metazoa; Chordata; Mammalia; Rodentia; Sciuridae.